GUGUCGCCAUGUUGCACAAACACAGAGGAUCUCUGGGCUCUGCUCCUCUCGAGAACAUAAUACAGCAUCUCUUGCAGCAGCAGCAGCAGCAGCAGCAGCAGCGCUGGUUUGAGCAGCGAGACGGCUUCCUCUCUCCCCUCAGCAGAUUCCCUUUCUUCUGAGCAGCAGCACAGCGUGUCUCCGCUGCUCCUGGCUCUCUGCGUCCUGCUCAUCAUGAUCCUGUGGGUGAAGAUGGGAGAGGACUCUCUGGAAGAGCUCGUCAGACGACUUACUGUUAUCAUACAGAAAAUCGGUAGGAGGAGCUAUGACUGUGUGUGUGUGAAUCAGUAGUGUUGGGAGAAAUAUAUGGGAACUGUAGCUCAGGGGUUGUUUGCAGCUUCUGUUUGUCUUUGCUAUAGUAAAUAUUUGAGAAUGUGUUGUGCUGAUUUUACCUCUGAAUAAAUUAAUCAUUCCGACCCAUGAAACCACAA
Molecule: long non-coding RNA, 470 nt
Organism: Carassius gibelio (silver crucian carp)
Lineage: Eukaryota; Metazoa; Chordata; Actinopteri; Cypriniformes; Cyprinidae
Exons: 2
Source: RefSeq, a predicted model, not a curated record